RNAcentral lists this ribosomal RNA (2049 nucleotides) under Staphylococcus epidermidis. RNAcentral's name for it is "bacterial LSU rRNA". It matches the Rfam family "Bacterial large subunit ribosomal RNA", at positions 287 to 2335 of the family's 2925-position model. Lineage: Bacteria; Bacillati; Bacillota; Bacilli; Caryophanales; Staphylococcaceae. The record is from RNAcentral.
GCUUGUUGGGGUUGUAGGACACUCUAUACGGAGUUACAAAAGAACAUGUUAGACGAAUCAUCUGGAAAGAUGAAUCAAAGAAGGUAAUAAUCCUGUAGUCGAAAACAUAUUCUCUCUUGAGUGGAUCCUGAGUACGACGGAGCACGUGAAAUUCCGUCGGAAUCUGGGAGGACCAUCUCCUAAGGCUAAAUACUCUCUAGUGACCGAUAGUGAACCAGUACCGUGAGGGAAAGGUGAAAAGUACCCCGGAAGGGGAGUGAAAGAGAACUUGAAACCGUGUGCUUACAAGUAGUCAGAGCCCGUUAAUGGGUGAUGGCGUGCCUUUUGUAGAAUGAACCGGCGAGUUACGAUCUGAUGCAAGGUUAAGCAGCAAAUGUGGAGCCGCAGCGAAAGCGAGUCUGAAUAGGGCGUUGAGUAUUUGGUCGUAGACCCGAAACCAGGUGAUCUACCCUUGGUCAGGUUGAAGUUCAGGUAACACUGAAUGGAGGACCGAACCGACUUACGUUGAAAAGUGAGCGGAUGAACUGAGGGUAGCGGAGAAAUUCCAAUCGAACUUGGAGAUAGCUGGUUCUCUCCGAAAUAGCUUUAGGGCUAGCCUCAAGUGAUGAUUAUUGGAGGUAGAGCACUGUUUGGACGAGGGGCCCCUCUCGGGUUACCGAAUUCAGACAAACUCCGAAUGCCAAUUAAUUUAACUUGGGAGUCAGAACAUGGGUGAUAAGGUCCGUGUUCGAAAGGGAAACAGCCCAGACCACCAGCUAAGGUCCCAAAAUAUAUGUUAAGUGGAAAAGGAUGUGGCGUUGCCCAGACAACUAGGAUGUUGGCUUAGAAGCAGCCAUCAUUUAAAGAGUGCGUAAUAGCUCACUAGUCGAGUGACACUGCGCCGAAAAUGUACCGGGGCUAAACAUAUUACCGAAGCUGUGGAUUGUCCUUUGGACAAUGGUAGGAGAGCGUUCUAAGGGCGUCGAAGCAUGAUCGCAAGGACAUGUGGAGCGCUUAGAAGUGAGAAUGCCGGUGUGAGUAGCGAAAGACGGGUGAGAAUCCCGUCCACCGAUUGACUAAGGUUUCCAGAGGAAGGCUCGUCCGCUCUGGGUUAGUCGGGUCCUAAGCUGAGGCCGACAGGCGUAGGCGAUGGAUAACAGGUUGAUAUUCCUGUACCACCUAGUAUCGUUUUAAUCGAUGGGGGGACGCAGUAGGAUAGGCGAAGCGUGCUGUUGGAGUGCACGUCCAAGCAGUAAGGCUGAGUGUUAGGCAAAUCCGGCACUCAUAAGGCUGAGCUGUGAUGGGGAGAGGAAAUUGUUUCCUCGAGUCGUUGAUUUCACACUGCCGAGAAAAGCCUCUAGAUAGAUAACAGGUGCCCGUACCGCAAACCGACACAGGUAGUCAAGAUGAGAAUUCUAAGGUGAGCGAGCGAACUCUCGUUAAGGAACUCGGCAAAAUGACCCCGUAACUUCGGGAGAAGGGGUGCUCUUUAGGGUUCACGCCCAGAAGAGCCGCAGUGAAUAGGCCCAAGCGACUGUUUAUCAAAAACACAGGUCUCUGCUAAACCGUAAGGUGAUGUAUAGGGGCUGACGCCUGCCCGGUGCUGGAAGGUUAAGAGGAGUGGUUAGCUUCUGCGAAGCUACGAAUCGAAGCCCCAGUAAACGGCGGCCGUAACUAUAACGGUCCUAAGGUAGCGAAAUUCCUUGUCGGGUAAGUUCCGACCCGCACGAAAGGCGUAACGAUUUGGGCACUGUCUCAACGAGAGACUCGGUGAAAUCAUAGUACCUGUGAAGAUGCAGGUUACCCGCGACAGGACGGAAAGACCCCGUGGAGCUUUACUGUAGCCUGAUAUUGAAAUUCGGCACAGCUUGUACAGGAUAGGUAGGAGCCUUUGAAACGUGAGCGCUAGCUUACGUGGAGGCGUUGGUGGGAUACUACCCUAGCUGUGUUGGCUUUCUAACCCGCACCACUUAUCGUGGUGGGAGACAGUGUCAGGCGGGCAGUUUGACUGGGGCGGUCGCCUCCUAAAAGGUAACGGAGGCGCUCAAAGGUUCCCUCAGAAUGGUUGGA